Molecule: unclassified non-coding RNA, 520 nt
Filed under: uncultured Glomus
Lineage: Eukaryota; Fungi; Glomeromycota; Glomeromycetes; Glomerales; Glomeraceae
Description: SSU rRNA
Rfam family: Eukaryotic small subunit ribosomal RNA
Source: RNAcentral
AGCAGCCGCGGUAAUUCCAGCUCCAAUAGCGUAUAUUAAAGUUGUUGCAGUUAAAAAGCUCGUAGUUGAAUUUCGGGAUCAAUAUGUCGGUCGUGCCUUCGGUACGUACUGGUAUCAUUGGUCUCUCCUUUCUGACGAACCAUGAUGUCAUUAAUUUGGUGUUAUGGGGAGUUAGGACUGUUACUUUGAAAAAUUAGAGUGUUUAAAGCAGGCUUUAGCUUGAAUACAUUAGCAUGGAAUAAUGAAAUAGGACGUUCGAACCUAUUUUGUUGGUUUCUAGGAUCAACGUAAUGAUUAAUAGGGAUAGUUGGGGGCAUUAGUAUUCAAUUGUCAGAGGUGAGAUUCUUGGAUUUAUUGAAGACUAACUGCUGCGAAAGCAUUUGCCAAGGAUGUUUUCAUUAAUCAAGAACGAAAGUUAGGGGAUCGAAGACGAUCAGAUACCGUCGUAGUCUUAACCAUAAACUAUGCCGACUAGGGAUCGGAUGAUGUUAAUUUUUUAAUGACUCAUUCGGCGCCUUAC